This 327-nucleotide ribosomal RNA is filed under the name uncultured bacterium. Its description in RNAcentral is "bacterial SSU rRNA". It matches the Rfam family "Bacterial small subunit ribosomal RNA", at positions 28 to 334 of the family's 1533-position model. The record is from RNAcentral.
GAUGAACGCUGGCGGCGUGCCUAACACAUGCAAGUCGAGCGAAGCACUCUACCUGAUUUCUUCGGGAUGAAGGUUUAGUGACUGAGCGGGCGACGGGUGAAGGUAACGCGUGGGUAACCUGCCUCAUACAGGGGGAUAACAGCUAGAAAUGACUGCUAAUACCGCAUAAGACCACAGCACCGCAUGGUGCAGGGGUAAAAACUCCGGUGGUAUGAGAUGGAUCCGCGUCUGAUUAGCCAGUUGGCGGGGUAAAGGCCCACCAAAGCUAUGAUCAGUAGCCGAGCUGAGAGGCUGGCCGGCCACAUUGGGACUGAGACACGGGCCCAG